This 962-nucleotide ribosomal RNA is filed under the name Bathyraja parmifera (Alaska skate). RNAcentral describes it as "12S ribosomal RNA". It matches the Rfam family "Bacterial small subunit ribosomal RNA". The record is from RNAcentral. Lineage: Eukaryota; Metazoa; Chordata; Chondrichthyes; Rajiformes; Arhynchobatidae.
GUGAAGGUUUGGUCCUGGCCUCAGUAUUAAUUUUGACUAAAUUUACACAUGCAAGUUUCUGCAUACUAGUGAGAACACCCUAAUCAUACUAUUAUUUGUUUAGGAGUUGGUAUCAGGCAUAUAUAUUGUGUAUGACCCAUGACACCUCGCCUAGCCACACCCCCAAGGGAAUUCAGCAGUGAUAAACAUUGAAUAAUAAGCGUAAGCUUGAACCAGUUAUAGUCAAUAAGGGUUGGUUAAUCUCGUGCCAGCCACCGCGGUUAUACGAGUAACCCAUAUUAAUAUUUUACGGCGUAAAGGGUGAUUAGAAAAUACUAAAAACUACUAAAGUUAUAAUUUUAUAAAGCUGUUAUACGCUCUUAUAAAAAGAAUAAUACAACAACGAAAGUGACUUUAUUUAACAAGAACUUUUGAACUCACGAUAGUUAAGACACAAACUAGGAUUAGAUACCCUACUAUGCUUAACCUUAAAUAGAAUUAUCCUAUUACUUUACCUAAUCCGCCUGAGUACUACAAGCGCUAGCUUAAAACCCAAAGGACUUGGCGGUGCCUCAGACCCCCCUAGAGGAGCCUGUUCUAUAACCGAUAAUCCACGUUAAACCUUACCACUUCUUGCCUUUACCGCCUAUAUACCGCCGUCGUCAGCUCACCCCAUGAGGGUUUAAAAGUAAGCAUAAUGGACUUCUCCAAAACGUCAGGUCGAGGUGUAGCGAAUGAAGUGGAAAGAAAUGGGCUACAUUUUCUUUUAAGAAAAUACGGACAAUAAGAUGAAAAACUAUUUAUAAAGGUGGAUUUAGUAGUAAGAAAAACUUAGGAUAUUUUUCUGAAAAUGGCUCUGAGGCGCGCACACACCGCCCGUCACUCUCCUCAAUUCCAAUCUUUUCCUUUUAUAAAUAGUCUUGUUUACAAGAGGAGGCAAGUCGUAACAUGGUAAGUGUACUGGAAAGUGUACUUAGAAUAAU